GACGAACGCUGGCGGCGUGCUUAACACAUGCAAGUCGAACGGAAAGGCCUUUUCGGAGGUACUCGAGUGGCGCACGGGUGAGUAACACGUGGGUGAUCUGCCCUGCACUCUGGGAUAAGCCUGGGAAACUGGGUCUAAUACCGGAUAGGACCGCACUUUAGUGUGUGUGGUGGAAAGUUUUUUCGGUGUAGGAUGAGCCCGCGGCCUAUCAGCUUGUUGGUGGGGUAAUGGCCUACCAAGGCGGCGACGGGUAGCCGGACUGAGAGGUUGGUCGGCCACAUUGGGACUGAGAUACGGCCCAGACUCCUACGGGAGGCAGCAGUGGGGAAUAUUGCACAAUGGGCGCAAGCCUGAUGCAGCGACGCCGCGGGGGGGAUGACGGCCUUCGGGUUGUAAACUCCUUUCGCCAGGGACGAAGCGUUUUGUGACGGUACCUGGAGAAGAAGCACCGGCUAACUACGUG
RNAcentral lists this ribosomal RNA (463 nucleotides) under uncultured bacterium. Its description in RNAcentral is "partial 16S ribosomal RNA". It matches the Rfam family "Bacterial small subunit ribosomal RNA", at positions 28 to 507 of the family's 1533-position model. The record is from RNAcentral.